UACAGAAAGAUCUGGGAACUAAGAGCAACGCUCGAAGAGGACGAGGAGCUUGAACAUCUCGUCUCUCCGCUGCCGAAACCACUCAAUUUGUAUAACCCUUCACCUGUUCAGUCCCCAGAAACGGAGACUGCGUAUGAACAUGACGACACUUUGCCAAGAUGUAGGUCUUCUUUCAGCUGCUGGCCGUCCCGUGCAUCAGUACCACCUCUGAGACUAACUCGACGACCACAACACAGGGGUAAUCAGGCCAGCCCUGCUGAACCCGACAGUGAGGCUCAAGGAGCAUUUGAGCUGCAGG
Schistocerca cancellata (South American locust) is the source of this 298-nucleotide long non-coding RNA. RefSeq lists it as uncharacterized. The record is from RefSeq and is a predicted model, not a curated record. The transcript has 3 exons. Lineage: Eukaryota; Metazoa; Arthropoda; Insecta; Orthoptera; Acrididae.